GAUGAAGAACGUAGCGAAAUGCGAUAAGUAAUGUGAAUUGCAGAAUUCAGUGAAUCAUCGAAUCUUUGAACGCACAUUGCGCCCGCCAGCAUUCUGGCGGGCAUGCCUGUUCGAGCGUCAUUUCAACCCUCGAGCCCCCCCGGGGGCCUCGUUGUUGGGGGACGGCACACCAGCCGCCCCCGAAAUGCAGUGGCGACCCCGCCGCAGCCUCCCCUGCGUAGUAGCACACACCUCGCACCGGAGCGCGGAGGCGGUCACGCCGUAAAACGCCCAACUUUCUUAGAGUUGACCUCGGAUCAGGUAGGAAUACCCGCUGAACUUAAGCAUAUCAAUAAGCGGAGGA
Molecule: unclassified non-coding RNA, 343 nt
Filed under: soil metagenome
Description: partial contains 5.8S ribosomal RNA, internal transcribed spacer 2, and large subunit ribosomal RNA
Rfam family: 5.8S ribosomal RNA (bases 1-120)
Source: RNAcentral